This 947-nucleotide ribosomal RNA is filed under the name Amplistroma longicollis. RNAcentral's name for it is "eukaryotic LSU rRNA". It matches the Rfam family "Eukaryotic large subunit ribosomal RNA", at positions 85 to 984 of the family's 3401-position model. Lineage: Eukaryota; Fungi; Ascomycota; Sordariomycetes; Amplistromataceae. The record is from RNAcentral.
AGCGGCGAGCGAAGCGGCAAGAGCUCAGAUUUGAAAUCUGGCNNCCCCUGACCGGGCGGCCCGAGUUGUAAUCUGUAGGAGGUGAUUCCNAACCUGCGCGCCCCGUCUAAGUCCCCUGGGAAGGGGCGCCGUAGAGGGUGACAGCCCCGUGAGGGGGGGCGCGACCGGGUCGAUUUUGUGAAUCCCGCCCGACGAGUCGAGUAGUUUGGGAAUGCUGCUCUAAAUGGGAGGUAUAUUCCUUCUAAAGCUAAAUACCGGCCGGAGACCGAUAGCGCACAAGUAGAGUGAUCGAAAGAUGAAAAGCACUUUGGAAAGAGAGUGAAACAGUACGUGAAAUUGUUGCAGGGGAAGCGCUCUUGACCAGUCGCGCGGCGGUGGGGACCAGUCGCCGUUGGCGGCGUAACCACCCUACCGGCUGCGGGUCAGCAUCAGCCCCUGGCGGCGGGAGAUGCGUGCUGGGAACGUGGCCCUGCCCUCUCGGGCGGGGUGUUUAUAGCCCACGCACCUAGCGUACCGCCUGCCGGGGCCGAGGAAUUCUGCGCCGCGUCAAAAACGGCUAGGAUGCUGGCAUAAUGGUCAUCAGCGUCCCGUCUUGAAACACGGACCAAGGAGUCAAGCAUCGGUGCGAGUGUCAGGGUGCUUCAAACCCGAGCGCGCAAUGAAGGUGAACUUUUUUUUUCUGGGUGGCAACCCUCCCCUCCCCGGAGGGGGGGGCGCACCACCGACCGGGCCCGAAGCUUCUGCGGAGGGACCUGAGUAGGAGCACCGCCGCUUGGACCCGAAAGAUUGCGAACUAUGCCUGUGUAGGGUGAAGCCAGAGGAAACUCUGGUGGAGGCUCGCAGCGGUUCUGACGUGCAAAUCGAUCGUCAAACAUGGGCAUGGGGGCGAAAGACUAAUCGAGCAAUCUAGUAGCUGGUUGCCGCCGAAGUUUCCCUCAGGAUAGCAG